CGCGCAGGCGGGUUGGCAAGUCAGAGGUGAAAUCCUACAGCUUAACUGUAGAACUGCCUUUGAGACUGCUAAUCUUGAGUACGGAAGAGAGAGAUGGAAUUCCAGGUGUAGUGGUGAAAUACGUAGAUAUCUGGAAGAACACCAGUGGCGAAGGCGAUCUCUUGGUCCUUUACUGACGCUAAGGCGCGAAAGCGUGGGGGAGCAAACA
RNAcentral lists this ribosomal RNA (208 nucleotides) under uncultured bacterium. Its description in RNAcentral is "partial 16S ribosomal RNA". It matches the Rfam family "Bacterial small subunit ribosomal RNA", at positions 568 to 774 of the family's 1533-position model. The record is from RNAcentral.